This 510-nucleotide ribosomal RNA is filed under the name uncultured bacterium. RNAcentral's name for it is "bacterial SSU rRNA". It matches the Rfam family "Bacterial small subunit ribosomal RNA", at positions 1 to 507 of the family's 1533-position model. The record is from RNAcentral.
CGUACGAUACGUAGUUUGACUCGUGCUCGAGAUGACGCUAGCGGCAGGCCUAAUACAUGCAAGUCGAACGGAUAUAUGUUUUCGGAAUAUAUAUUAGUGGCGCACGGGUGAGUAACACGUACAUAACUUGCCCUCAAGCGGGGGAUAGCCUUGGGAAACUGAGAGUGAUACCCCAUAGAAUUAUUGGACGGCAUCGUUUGAUAAUUAAAACUACGGUGUUUGGGGAUAGAUGUGCGUCUGAUUAGCUAGUUGGUGAGGUAACUGCUCACCAAGGCGACGAUCAGUAGGGGGCGUGAGAGCGUGGCCCCCCACACGGGUACUGAGACACGGACCCGACUCCUACGGGAGGCAGCAGUAAGGAAUAUUGGUCAAUGGAGGGAACUCUGAACCAGCCAUGCCGCGUGAAGGAUGACGGCCCUCUGGGUUGUAAACUUCUUUUGGAUGGGGCGAAAAAACGGGAUUUAUCCUGGACUGACGGUACCAUCAGAAUAAGCACCGGCUAACUCCGUG